Molecule: ribosomal RNA, 2178 nt
Filed under: Bacillus mycoides
Lineage: Bacteria; Bacillati; Bacillota; Bacilli; Caryophanales; Bacillaceae
Description: bacterial LSU rRNA
Rfam family: Bacterial large subunit ribosomal RNA
Source: RNAcentral
CGGCGAGCGAAACGGAAUCUAGCCCAAACCAAGAGGCUUGCCUCUUGGGGUUGUAGGACAUUCUAUACGGAGUUACAAAGGAACGAGGUAGACGAAGCGACCUGGAAAGGUCCGUCACAGAGGGUAACAACCCCGUAGUCGAAACUUCGUUCUCUCUUGAAUGUAUCCUGAGUACGGCGGAACACGUGAAAUUCCGUCGGAAUCUGGGAGGACCAUCUCCCAAGGCUAAAUACUCCCUAGUGAUCGAUAGUGAACCAGUACCGUGAGGGAAAGGUGAAAAGCACCCCGGAAGGGGAGUGAAAGAGAUCCUGAAACCGUGUGCCUACAAAUAGUCAGAGCCCGUUAAUGGGUGAUGGCGUGCCUUUUGUAGAAUGAACCGGCGAGUUACGAUCCCGUGCGAGGUUAAGCUGAAGAGGCGGAGCCGCAGCGAAAGCGAGUCUGAAUAGGGCGUUUAGUACGUGGUCGUAGACCCGAAACCAGGUGAUCUACCCAUGUCCAGGGUGAAGUUCAGGUAACACUGAAUGGAGGCCCGAACCCACGCACGUUGAAAAGUGCGGGGAUGAGGUGUGGGUAGCGGAGAAAUUCCAAUCGAACCUGGAGAUAGCUGGUUCUCCCCGAAAUAGCUUUAGGGCUAGCCUUAAGUGUAAGAGUCUUGGAGGUAGAGCACUGAUUGAACUAGGGGUCCUCAUCGGAUUACCGAAUUCAGUCAAACUCCGAAUGCCAAUGACUUAUCCUUAGGAGUCAGACUGCGAGUGAUAAGAUCCGUAGUCAAGAGGGAAACAGCCCAGAUCGCCAGCUAAGGUCCCAAAGUGUGUAUUAAGUGGAAAAGGAUGUGGAGUUGCUUAGACAACUAGGAUGUUGGCUCAGAAGCAGCCACCAUUUAAAGAGUGCGUAAUAGCUCACUAGUCGAGUGACUCUGCGCCGAAAAUGUACCGGGGCUAAAUACACCACCGAAGCUGCGAAUUGAUACCAAUGGUAUCAGUGGUAGGGGAGCGUUCUAAGUGCAGUGAAGUCAGACCGGAAGGACUGGUGGAGCGCUUAGAAGUGAGAAUGCCGGUAUGAGUAGCGAAAGACGGGUGAGAAUCCCGUCCACCGAAUGCCUAAGGUUUCCUGAGGAAGGCUCGUCCGCUCAGGGUUAGUCAGGACCUAAGCCGAGGCCGACAGGCGUAGGCGAUGGACAACAGGUUGAUAUUCCUGUACCACCUCUUUAUCGUUUGAGCAAUGGAGGGACGCAGAAGGAUAGAAGAAGCGUGCGAUUGGUUGUGCACGUCCAAGCAGUUAGGCUGAUAAGUAGGCAAAUCCGCUUAUCGUGAAGGCUGAGCUGUGAUGGGGAAGCUCCUUAUGGAGCGAAGUCUUUGAUUCCCCGCUGCCAAGAAAAGCUUCUAGCGAGAUAAAAGGUGCCUGUACCGCAAACCGACACAGGUAGGCGAGGAGAGAAUCCUAAGGUGUGCGAGAGAACUCUGGUUAAGGAACUCGGCAAAAUGACCCCGUAACUUCGGGAGAAGGGGUGCUUUCUUAACGGAAAGCCGCAGUGAAUAGGCCCAAGCGACUGUUUAGCAAAAACACAGGUCUCUGCGAAGCCGUAAGGCGAAGUAUAGGGGCUGACACCUGCCCGGUGCUGGAAGGUUAAGGAGAGGGGUUAGCGUAAGCGAAGCUCUGAACUGAAGCCCCAGUAAACGGCGGCCGUAACUAUAACGGUCCUAAGGUAGCGAAAUUCCUUGUCGGGUAAGUUCCGACCCGCACGAAAGGUGUAACGAUUUGGGCACUGUCUCAACCAGAGACUCGGUGAAAUUAUAGUACCUGUGAAGAUGCAGGUUACCCGCGACAGGACGGAAAGACCCCGUGGAGCUUUACUGUAGCCUGAUAUUGAAUUUUGGUACAGUUUGUACAGGAUAGGCGGGAGCCAUUGAAACCGGAGCGCUAGCUUCGGUGGAGGCGCUGGUGGGAUACCGCCCUGACUGUAUUGAAAUUCUAACCUACGGGUCUCAUCGACCCGGGAGACAGUGUCAGGUGGGCAGUUUGACUGGGGCGGUCGCCUCCUAAAGUGUAACGGAGGCGCCCAAAGGUUCCCUCAGAAUGGUUGGAAAUCAUUCGUAGAGUGCAAAGGCAUAAGGGAGCUUGACUGCGAGACCUACAAGUCGAGCAGGGACGAAAGUCGGGCUUAGUGAUCCGGUGGUU